AUCAACCAAUAAAAUUAUUUAUAAUACCAGGUAUAAAAGAUGACAUCGAGUUUCAAUCUAAAACGAGAAAAGAAAUUGGCGCUAUACGUUGGUUUAAUAUACAAAAAGUAUUAGAAUAUCGAAAUUUAAAAAGACAAAAAAAAAAAACAAGUCAAAAUUUUUUGUUUGACAAUAAAAAAGAACGUAUAAAUGGUAUUAUUGUUUUUCCAUUUUUACGUAAUAUAUUAAAAUGGAUAGACAUAUUUAAAAAAAAUGUGAAUGAUAAUAUUUUAAAAAAUGAUAAUCAUGAAGCAGCAAGUAAUAUAGUUGCCUAUAAAUACCAAAUUACAGGAAUUGAUCCGAUGACUAUUAAAAGUGUACAAUUUAUUGAUAGAUCGUGGAAAAAUGAUCUUAAAAAAGAAGAUGAUAUAAAAAGCUAUUGUUAUUUUUAUGAGGGGGGUAAUGACGGUAAUGACGGUAAUGACGAGAGUGUUGAUAUAAACGAUGAUAAAUAUUACUAUGAUGAUGAAUAUGAAGAAAUAAAAGAAUAUUAUGAAAAUACAGUUACAGAUAUAUAUGAGAAUGAUAAUGCUACGAACGUUAUCGAAAACACAGUUACUACUACUACUACUACUAAUAAUGUCGACAAUAGUUCUAUUACUAAAGCCAUUAUUAGUCCUACUGGUACAGACACUUCUGAUAAUAUUGAAAGAACAAUUAAUGAAAAUAGCAUAAACAAGAAACCGAAAUUUAUUGAUGGUCCUGAUUUUUGUAAUACAAAAAUGAAUGAAAAAGAGAAAAAGAACAAUAACCAUGUAAAUACAGCAAUAGCACAUAAUUUGAAGCAAAAUAAUGGUGUUACUACUUUAAAUGUUAAAGAGAAACAUGGAGUUAAUUCUGGUAGUAGUCGUAGUCGUAGCAGCAGUAGCAGUAGUAAUGGCAAUAAUACUAAUCGUGUAUCGGUGUGUCCUACUAACAAUGUUUUAUUUGGUAUGAAUAAUGAUAUGACCAAAAACAUGCAUAACACAUACAGUGGAAUAAACCAAAAUACAAACACGUUAAUGGAGAAAACUGUUGUUCAUGAGAAGGAAAAUAUUUCAGAAGUAAUAGUAAACGAAAAUAAUAUAGAAAAAACGAAUACUGUGAAUAUAACAAAUUUAAUUUUAUCUAAAAAAAACGGUUUUAUAAAAAAUAAUUUGUUUAUUAAUAAUAUUCUGAGUAAACAAGAUGUUAUAUGUAAUGAAAAAGAAAUUGAUGAAGAAAUAAAAAAAAAAAAAAAAAUUAAGGAUAAUACAAUAAGUUAUAAUAAUAUACCUGAUAAGGUUAUAAAUGCGAGUAUGGAAAAUGGUUCUAUUGAAACAACUGGAGUUUACAAAUAUGAACACAAUUUGGAAAAUAAUUAUGAUGGAAAGGAUUGUAGUUACAACUAUAAAAAAUGUGAUUUGAAUAAAAGUGGUAGUCACAGCAAAAGCCCUGACAGUAGCAAUAAUACGAAUGACAAAAAAAAUGACAGCACAUAUAACAGUAAGCUAUUAAAAUACAAUAGCAAAGUCAACCUGUAUAAUAACACAGAAUUUAAUAAAAAUAUGAUAAUAAAUAAUCGAGAGUUUGAUAUAUAUGAUAACAGGUUUGCAUAUAAUUUGCACAAAACGAGAACAGGACAAUUUUCAGCUUUAAGACUAAAAGAAGUAGGAGUGAAAAGUUUCGAUGAUCAAGAUUUUGAUAAAAGAAAAAAGUUUCAUUUACGUUUUUAUGGAAAUACAAAUCGGGUUAUGAAUCCGAACAGAUAUAAUAUACCAAAACAUAAAAAAGUUUUUAUGAAACAAUCUUAUCCAUCAUUAGAUGACACAUCAUUAUAUUAUGCAUUAAUAAAAAGUAAAACAUUAGAUGCACAUAACAAUCAAACAUUUGGAUUAAAUCAUGCAACUGGUUGGAGUGUAGAAGAUAUGUUUAAAAUAAAUAAAGAGAAGUAUGGUGUUUAUUCAACUUAUGAUAUUGAACAUUAUACAACUCCAUUGGUAUAUAAUAAUGAAAGUAGUAAUGUUUCUAUGCUUCACAAUAGUACCAUAAAUAAAAAUAACUUUACUUACGGGUGUACACAUAAUAAAGUGAGUACUACUAAUAUUGGUUGCAAAAAUGGUAAUGACAGUAGCAACGCGAUUGUUAAAAAUAUAACUACAGAUUCUAUGGAUGAUGUUACUAGUAAUACUAUCGGUAAUGGCAUCGGUAACGGUAUCGGUAAUGGCAUCGGUAAUGGUAUCGGUAACACUGUAGGUAGUGUUACCACCAAUGCUACCACCAAUGCUACCACCAAUGCUACUACCAAUGCUACCACCAGUGCUACCACAAAUGCUACCACAAAUGCCACCACAAAUGCCACCACAAAUGCUACCGCCAGUACCACCCCCAGUGGCACCGCUAAUGCUACGAGUGACACACAACCAAGUUCCAACAAAACGAUUGAAAACGAAGAAAAGAUAAAAAUCGAGCGCGAAGAGGAACUAAAAAAAAAAAUUAUUUGGCUUAUAAUGGAUAUAGCACCAAAUAUGUCUAAUGAACAAACAGAAGUAAAGGAUAAAGCAAUUUUAAAAAUAAAUGCUUCUGAAAAUACAAAUAAAAAUGGUAAUAAUAAUAUAGAGGGGGAAAGUAGCACAUCUAAUAGUAACAAUGAAAAUGGUCCUAGAACGGACACAAGUGAUGUUAACAAUGUAACCGAUUUGAAUAAUAAGAAGAAAAUGAAUCAAAUUAUAACUAAUAAAGUGAAGUUAAAAAAUGAUAGUAACAACAGAAACAAUCUUUGUAGUAAUGUUAAUGUUACUAAUUUAAAUAAAAAGAAUGGUCGCACGUGCGCUAGUGAGUUAGAACAUAUAGUAGCAGAUACUGCUAUUGUAGGGCAUGGUGAGAGUAAAGAAAAUGGUGACCAUAUAGGUAAUAGUAGUAUUAUUCAUACUGGUAAUAGUAGUAGCGCUUAUAAUAAUGCUAGUAAUAGUACUAGCAACAGACGUAAUGGUGUAAAAAACAAUAAACAUACAGAAAGUAUGAAUGAAAAAAAUAAUAAAGAAAAAUAUAAUAACAAUAUGGUAAACAACUUAUUGCAUAAUAAACCGAGUAAUUCUUUGAAUGAAGGUAUAAGUACGAGUGUAAAUGAUACCAAAGAGUCACAUACGGAUUCAAUUACGUGUGGACAAAAAAAAAAAAGUCCGAAUGAUUUAAAAAGUAGUAUGAACGGUCAUUUGUUUAAUAACAAUAGCAAUAGUAGCAACGAUGAUAGUAAUGAUAGUAAGGAAGGGAAAUUUUAUACGAAUUUAAUGAAUUUGAAAACAUUUUUAAAAAAACGAGCUAGUAGAUAUAAUAAUGUAAAAGAUGAUAUUAAUAUAGAAAGCGAAACUGAUAUUGUUUCGGGCAUGAAUUAUAUGAUAGAAGGUAAAAACAAAAAUAUACUCGAAGAGAUAAAUAAAUUGGAUUUAAAAAAGGAAAAGGAUGCUACAGUGGGAAACUUAAAUGGUAACGCAGUAGUUAAUAAUUUAGACAAUAAUAUAUUAAUGAAUAAUCAUACCAAUGCGAACCUGAGGAAUAGCCAACAAAUAAAAAAAAAUAGUAUUACACUGUUGCAAAGAAAUAAAAUUAUGAGUGCUUCAAAUAAAGCUAAAAAUGAAAUAGAAUCAAAUAGACAAAGGUUAAAAGGUGUGAGUGAAAACAUAACAUCAGAUGCUAGUGAUGUAAAUAAUAAUGUAAAUAAUAAUAAUGUUCUAUAACAAUGUUAAUAACAACAGUGUAAAUAACAACAGUGUAAAUAACAACAGUGUAAAUAACAACAGUGUUAAUAAUAAUGAUGAAGUAGGAACAACACUUAUUUGACCUAAUUAAUAGAAAAAAUCAUAAGGACAUAAAAAAAAAGGGCAAAAAAUGGCAGAUUCUUCAAACACUAUCAAAUAAAGUUAUGCUAUUAAAAAAUAAAGUAAAAUCA
This is a long non-coding RNA of Piliocolobus tephrosceles (Ugandan red Colobus), 3946 nucleotides long. The record is from Ensembl. Lineage: Eukaryota; Metazoa; Chordata; Mammalia; Primates; Cercopithecidae.